AUUGAACGCUGGCGGCAGGCCUAACACAUGCAAGUCGAACGAGUGGCGGACGGGUGAGUAAUGUCUGUGAAACUGCCCGAUGGAGGGGGAUAACUACUGGAAACUGUAGCUAAUACCGCAUACCAUCGGAUGUGCCUAGAUGGGAUUGGCUAGUAGGUGGGGUAAAGGCUAACCUCGGCGACGUUCCCUAGCUGGUCUGAGAGGAUGACCAGCCACACUGGAACUGAGACACGGUCCAGACUCCGACGGGAGGCAGCAGUGGGGAAUAUUGCACAAUGGGCGCAAGCCUGAUGCAGCCAUGCCGCGUGUAUGAAGAAGGCCUUCGGGUUGUAAAGUACUUUGAGCGAGGAGGCGUUACUCGCAGAAGAAGCACCGGCUAACUCCGUGCCAGCAGCCGCGGUAAUAC
This 406-nucleotide ribosomal RNA is filed under the name uncultured bacterium. RNAcentral's name for it is "partial 16S ribosomal RNA". It matches the Rfam family "Bacterial small subunit ribosomal RNA", at positions 30 to 526 of the family's 1533-position model. The record is from RNAcentral.